RNAcentral lists this ribosomal RNA (213 nucleotides) under uncultured bacterium. RNAcentral describes it as "partial 16S ribosomal RNA". It matches the Rfam family "Bacterial small subunit ribosomal RNA", at positions 1288 to 1500 of the family's 1533-position model. The record is from RNAcentral.
UCAGUUCGGACUGCAGGCUGCAACUCGCCUGCACGAAGUUGGAAUUGCUAGUAAUCGUGGAUCAGCAUGCCACGGUGAAUACGUUCCCGGGUCUUGUACACACCGCCCGUCACACCAUGGGAGCCGGUAAUACCCGAAGUCAGUAGUCUAACCGCAAGGAGGACGCUGCCGAAGGUAGGAUUGGCGACUGGGGUGAAGUCGUAACAAGGUAAC